Molecule: transfer RNA, 73 nt
Filed under: Candidatus Arcanibacter lacustris
Lineage: Bacteria; Pseudomonadati; Pseudomonadota; Alphaproteobacteria; Rickettsiales; Candidatus Arcanibacteraceae
Description: Candidatus Arcanobacter lacustris tRNA
Rfam family: tRNA
About the family: Transfer RNA (tRNA) molecules are approximately 80 nucleotides in length. Their secondary structure includes four short double-helical elements and three loops (D, anti-codon, and T loops). Further hydrogen bonds mediate the characteristic L-shaped molecular structure. tRNAs have two regions of fundamental functional importance: the anti-codon, which is responsible for specific mRNA codon recognition, and the 3' end, to which the tRNAs corresponding amino acid is attached (by aminoacyl-tRNA synthetases). tRNAs cope with the degeneracy of the genetic code in two manners: having more than one tRNA (with a specific anti-codon) for a particular amino acid; and 'wobble' base-pairing, i.e. permitting non-standard base-pairing at the 3rd anti-codon position.
Source: Rfam by way of RNAcentral
GGCUGAGUAGCUCAGUUGGUAGAGCAAGGGACUGAAAAUCCCUGUGUCCCUGGUUCGAUUCCAGGUUCAGCCA